This 312-nucleotide ribosomal RNA is filed under the name Triticum aestivum (bread wheat). RNAcentral describes it as "partial small subunit ribosomal RNA". Lineage: Eukaryota; Viridiplantae; Streptophyta; Magnoliopsida; Poales; Poaceae. The record is from RNAcentral.
AUGCUGCUGCUGUUCGAGACGCCCUCAGGCUUCGCAAUUUUCAGUUUUCGCGCAGGGGUCAUUGAAAAACCAAAUGCCCUGGAGGAAAUAUGGACUCACUUCAUUCUGAUUGGGACGGCAAAGAGUGUUGUUCGGCUGAGAAACUUUCAAACUUUUGAGGACAAGUCCAGCGCCAUUAAUCAAAAGACCGGUGUUAAUGAAAGUCUUACUGAGAUGAUCAUGAAGUGCCACUUCCCUGGGCAGAGAAUGGCUGUUGGAAAGCCGGAAUAUAAAAAAAUCAUUGAAGAAAAUCUGAAAAUAACCUGCGUGUGA